RNAcentral lists this small nuclear RNA (153 nucleotides) under Sorex araneus (European shrew). Its description in RNAcentral is "U1 spliceosomal RNA (ENSSARG00000015417.1)". It matches the Rfam family "U1 spliceosomal RNA". Rfam says of the family: U1 is a small nuclear RNA (snRNA) component of the spliceosome (involved in pre-mRNA splicing). The record is from RNAcentral. Lineage: Eukaryota; Metazoa; Chordata; Mammalia; Eulipotyphla; Soricidae.
AUAUUUAUCUGAAGGGAAUAUACCAUGAUCAUGAAGGUGGUUUUCCCAGGAGAGGCUUAUCCAUUGUACUCUGAAUGUGGCAACCCUUGGAUUUCCCCAAAUGAGGGAAAUUCAGCUGCAUAAUUUGAUGUAGUGGGGACCUGUGGUUGCCUG